This 499-nucleotide ribosomal RNA is filed under the name uncultured bacterium. RNAcentral's name for it is "partial 16S ribosomal RNA". It matches the Rfam family "Bacterial small subunit ribosomal RNA", at positions 30 to 523 of the family's 1533-position model. The record is from RNAcentral.
AUUGAACGCUGGCGGAAUGCUUUACACAUGCAAGUCGAACGGCAGCACGGACUUCGGUCUGGUGGCGAGUGGCGAACGGGUGAGUAAUGUAUCGGAACGUGCCCAGUCGUGGGGAUAACGUAGUGAAAAUUACGCUAAUACCGCAUACGAUCUAUGGAUGAAAGCGGGGGAUCGCAAGACCUCGCGCGAUUGGAGCUGCCGAUAUCAGAUUAGGUAGUUGGUGGGGUAAAGGCCCACCAAGCCAACGAACCGUAGCUGGUCUGAGAGGACGAUCAGGCACACUGGAACUGAGACACGGUCCAGACUCCUACGGGAGGCAGCAGUGGGGAAUUUUGGACAAUGGGCGAAAGCCUGAUCCAGCCAUUCCGCGUGCAGGAUGAAGGCCCUCGGGUUGUAAACUGCUUUUGUACAGAACGAAAAGGUUUCUACUAAUACUAGGAGCUCAUGACGGUACUGUAAGAAUAAGCACCGGCUAACUACGUGCCAGCCGCCGCCGUAA